Molecule: ribosomal RNA, 2905 nt
Filed under: Escherichia coli DEC4F
Lineage: Bacteria; Pseudomonadati; Pseudomonadota; Gammaproteobacteria; Enterobacterales; Enterobacteriaceae
Description: bacterial LSU rRNA
Rfam family: Bacterial large subunit ribosomal RNA
Source: RNAcentral
UUAAGCGACUAAGCGUACACGGUGGAUGCCCUGGCAGUCAGAGGCGAUGAAGGACGUGCUAAUCUGCGAUAAGCGUCGGUAAGGUGAUAUGAACCGUUAUAACCGGCGAUUUCCGAAUGGGGAAACCCAGUGUGAUUCGUCACACUAUCAUUAACUGAAUCCAUAGGUUAAUGAGGCGAACCGGGGGAACUGAAACAUCUAAGUACCCCGAGGAAAAGAAAUCAACCGAGAUUCCCCCAGUAGCGGCGAGCGAACGGGGAGGAGCCCAGAGCCUGAAUCAGUGUGUGUGUUAGUGGAAGCGUCUGGAAAGGCGCGCGAUACAGGGUGACAGCCCCGUACACAAAAAUGCACAUGCUGUGAGCUCGAUGAGUAGGGCGGGACACGUGGUAUCCUGUCUGAAUAUGGGGGGACCAUCCUCCAAGGCUAAAUACUCCUGACUGACCGAUAGUGAACCAGUACCGUGAGGGAAAGGCGAAAAGAACCCCGGCGAGGGGAGUGAAAAAGAACCUGAAACCGUGUACGUACAAGCAGUGGGAGCACAGAGCAAUCUGUGUGACUGCGUACCUUUUGUAUAAUGGGUCAGCGACUUAUAUUCUGUAGCAAGGUUAACCGAAUAGGGGAGCCGAAGGGAAACCGAGUCUUAACUGGGCGUUAAGUUGCAGGGUAUAGACCCGAAACCCGGUGAUCUAGCCAUGGGCAGGUUGAAGGUUGGGUAACACUAACUGGAGGACCGAACCGACUAAUGUUGAAAAAUUAGCGGAUGACUUGUGGCUGGGGGUGAAAGGCCAAUCAAACCGGGAGAUAGCUGGUUCUCCCCGAAAGCUAUUUAGGUAGCGCCUCGUGAAUUCAUCUCCGGGGGUAGAGCACUGUUUCGGCAAGGGGGUCAUCCCGACUUACCAACCCGAUGCAAACUGCGAAUACCGGAGAAUGUUAUCACGGGAGACACACGGCGGGUGCUAACGUCCGUCGUGAAGAGGGAAACAACCCAGACCGCCAGCUAAGGUCCCAAAGUCAUGGUUAAGUGGGAAACGAUGUGGGAAGGCCCAGACAGCCAGGAUGUUGGCUUAGAAGCAGCCAUCAUUUAAAGAAAGCGUAAUAGCUCACUGGUCGAGUCGGCCUGCGCGGAAGAUGUAACGGGGCUAAACCAUGCACCGAAGCUGCGGCAGCGACACUGUGUGUUGUUGGGUAGGGGAGCGUUCUGUAAGCCUGUGAAGGUGUGCUGUGAGGCAUGCUGGAGGUAUCAGAAGUGCGAAUGCUGACAUAAGUAACGAUAAAGCGGGUGAAAAGCCCGCUCGCCGGAAGACCAAGGGUUCCUGUCCAACGUUAAUCGGGGCAGGGUGAGUCGACCCCUAAGGCGAGGCCGAAAGGCGUAGUCGAUGGGAAACAGGUUAAUAUUCCUGUACUUGGUGUUACUGCGAAGGGGGACGGAGAAGGCUAUGUUGGCCGGGCGACGGUUGUCCCGGUUUAAGCGUGUAGGCUGGUUUUCCAGGCAAAUCCGGAAAAUCAAGGCUGAGGCGUGAUGAUGACGAGGCACUACGGUGCUGAAGCAACAAAUGCCCUGCUUCCAGGAAAAGCCUCUAAGCAUCAGGUAACAUCAAAUCGUACCCCAAACCGACACAGGUGGUCAGGUAGAGAAUACCAAGGCGCUUGAGAGAACUCGGGUGAAGGAACUAGGCAAAAUGGUGCCGUAACUUCGGGAGAAGGCACGCUGAUAUGUAGGUGAAGUCCCUCGCGGAUGGAGCUGAAAUCAGUCGAAGAUACCAGCUGGCUGCAACUGUUUAUUAAAAACACAGCACUGUGCAAACACGAAAGUGGACGUAUACGGUGUGACGCCUGCCCGGUGCCGGAAGGUUAAUUGAUGGGGUCAGCGCAAGCGAAGCUCUUGAUCGAAGCCCCGGUAAACGGCGGCCGUAACUAUAACGGUCCUAAGGUAGCGAAAUUCCUUGUCGGGUAAGUUCCGACCUGCACGAAUGGCGUAAUGAUGGCCAGGCUGUCUCCACCCGAGACUCAGUGAAAUUGAACUCGCUGUGAAGAUGCAGUGUACCCGCGGCAAGACGGAAAGACCCCGUGAACCUUUACUAUAGCUUGACACUGAACAUUGAGCCUUGAUGUGUAGGAUAGGUGGGAGGCUUUGAAGUGUGGACGCCAGUCUGCAUGGAGCCGACCUUGAAAUACCACCCUUUAAUGUUUGAUGUUCUAACGUGGACCCGUGAUCCGGGUUGCGGACAGUGUCUGGUGGGUAGUUUGACUGGGGCGGUCUCCUCCUAAAGAGUAACGGAGGAGCACGAAGGUUGGCUAAUCCUGGUCGGACAUCAGGAGGUUAGUGCAAUGGCAUAAGCCAGCUUGACUGCGAGCGUGACGGCGCGAGCAGGUGCGAAAGCAGGUCAUAGUGAUCCGGUGGUUCUGAAUGGAAGGGCCAUCGCUCAACGGAUAAAAGGUACUCCGGGGAUAACAGGCUGAUACCGCCCAAGAGUUCAUAUCGACGGCGGUGUUUGGCACCUCGAUGUCGGCUCAUCACAUCCUGGGGCUGAAGUAGGUCCCAAGGGUAUGGCUGUUCGCCAUUUAAAGUGGUACGCGAGCUGGGUUUAGAACGUCGUGAGACAGUUCGGUCCCUAUCUGCCGUGGGCGCUGGAGAACUGAGGGGGGCUGCUCCUAGUACGAGAGGACCGGAGUGGACGCAUCACUGGUGUUCGGGUUGUCAUGCCAAUGGCACUGCCCGGUAGCUAAAUGCGGAAGAGAUAAGUGCUGAAAGCAUCUAAGCACGAAACUUGCCCCGAGAUGAGUUCUCCCUGACCCUUUAAGGGUCCUGAAGGAACGUUGAAGACGACGACGUUGAUAGGCCGGGUGUGUAAGCGCAGCGAUGCGUUGAGCUAACCGGUACUAAUGAACCGUGAGGCUUAACCUU